RNAcentral lists this RNase P RNA (373 nucleotides) under Posidoniimonas polymericola. Its description in RNAcentral is "Bacterial RNase P class A". It matches the Rfam family "Bacterial RNase P class A". Rfam says of the family: Ribonuclease P (RNase P) is a ubiquitous endoribonuclease, found in archaea, bacteria and eukarya as well as chloroplasts and mitochondria. Its best characterised activity is the generation of mature 5'-ends of tRNAs by cleaving the 5'-leader elements of precursor-tRNAs. Cellular RNase Ps are ribonucleoproteins. The record is from Rfam by way of RNAcentral. Lineage: Bacteria; Pseudomonadati; Planctomycetota; Planctomycetia; Pirellulales; Lacipirellulaceae.
GGAGAGGACCGGGCAGUCGCCGGUCGGGCCGCGAGGUCCGGCGGGAGGAAAGUCCGGGCGCCAGAGGACAGGGUGGUGGGUAACUCCCACCGGCCGUGAGGCCAGGGCAAGUGCAACAGAAAGCAGACCGCCAGCGGCUUCGGCCGCUGGUAAGGGUGAAACGGUGCGGUAAGAGCGCACCAGCAGGCGGGGUGACUCGCUUGGCUAGGUAAACCCCACCCGGCGCAAGGCCAAGCAGGGGGCAAGAGUCGGUCCGGCUCGCUUCAACCCCCGGGUAGGCCGCUUGAGACGGCGAGCAAUCGCCGCCCUAGAGGAAUGAUUGCCGCCCGCCUUCGGGCGGGGACAAAACCCGGCUUACAGGUCCUCUCCACUU